RNAcentral lists this ribosomal RNA (765 nucleotides) under uncultured Streptococcus sp. RNAcentral describes it as "bacterial SSU rRNA". It matches the Rfam family "Bacterial small subunit ribosomal RNA", at positions 28 to 776 of the family's 1533-position model. Lineage: Bacteria; Bacillati; Bacillota; Bacilli; Lactobacillales; Streptococcaceae. The record is from RNAcentral.
GACGAACGCUGGCGGCGUGCCUAAUACAUGCAAGUAGAACGCUGAAGAGAGGAGCUUGCUCUUCUUGGAUGAGUUGCGAACGGGUGAGUAACGCGUAGGUAACCUGCCUUGUAGCGGGGGAUAACUAUUGGAAACGAUAGCUAAUACCGCAUAACAAUGGAUGACACAUGUCAUUUAUUUGAAAGGGGCAAUUGCUCCACUACAAGAUGGACCUGCGUUGUAUUAGCUAGUAGGUGAGGUAACGGCUCACCUAGGCGACGAUACGUAGCCGACCUGAGAGGGUGAUCGGCCACACUGGGACUGAGACACGGCCCAGACUCCUACGGGAGGCAGCAGUAGGGAAUCUUCGGCAAUGGGGGCAACCCUGACCGAGCAACGCCGCGUGAGUGAAGAAGGUUUUCGGAUCAUAAAGCUCUGUUGUAAGUCAAGAACGAGUGUGAGAGUGGAAAGUUCACACUGUGACGGUAGCUUACCAGAAAGGGACGGCUAACUACGUGCCAGCAGCCGCGGUAAUACGUAGGUCCCGAGCGUUGUCCGGAUUUAUUGGGCGUAAAGCGAGCGCAGGCGGUUUGAUAAGUCUGAAGUUAAAGGCUGUGGCUCAACCAUAGUUCGCUUUGGAAACUGUCAAACUUGAGUGCAGAAGGGGAGAGUGGAAUUCCAUGUGUAGCGGUGAAAUGCGUAGAUAUAUGGAGGAACACCGGUGGCGAAAGCGGCUCUCUGGUCUGUAACUGACGCUGAGGCUCGAAAGCGUGGGGAGCGAACAGG